This 433-nucleotide ribosomal RNA is filed under the name uncultured bacterium. Its description in RNAcentral is "partial 16S ribosomal RNA". It matches the Rfam family "Bacterial small subunit ribosomal RNA", at positions 29 to 507 of the family's 1533-position model. The record is from RNAcentral.
AACGAACGCUGGCGGCAGGCCUAACACGUGCAAGUCGAGCGAGAUCUUCGGGUCUAGCGGCGGACGGGUGAGUAACGCGUGGGAAUAUGCCUCUUGGUACGGAAUAGCCUCGGGAAACUGGGAGUAAUACCGUAUGUGCCCUUUGGGGGAAAGAUUUAUCGCCAAGAGAUUAGCCCGCGUUGGAUUAGGUAGUUGGUGGGGUAAUGGCCUACCAAGCCGACGAUCCAUAGCUGGUUUGAGAGGAUGAUCAGCCACACUGGGACUGAGACACGGCCCAGACUCCUACGGGAGGCAGCAGUGGGGAAUCUUAGACAAUGGGGGCAACCCUGAUCUAGCCAUGCCGCGUGAGUGAUGAAGGCCUUAGGGUUGUAAAGCUCUUUCAGCUGGGAAGAUAAUGACGGUACCAGCAGAAGAAGCCCCGGCUAACUCCGUG